AAGCUAUCAAUCAAGCAGUUAAGCAAAUUAAAUCACAACUCAGAAAUCACAACUGAAGGUAAUCAAUUCAUAUUACAAAUUUAUUCAUGGCUUUGAAUUAACCUCUAGCCAAAAUAAAUUUAGUUACACAUUAUUAAAACAGAAAUAAAAUAUAAGUUUGGAAAGAUUUAACCGAGAGAGAAGGCAGCUUGCUCCUUCUGUUUUUCUCCCCGCAAGCGCUGCUUCGCUGCUUUCACUUCUCUGCUCUCUGCCCUCACUCUGCGCUUCUCUCUCCGCACACUUCCCUGCUUUCCCUUCUCCCCUUUCUCUCUUUCCCGUCUGUUCUAUCUAUCCAUCUCUCUGCCUUCUCUCCUCCCUUUUUCGCUGGAGCCCUCAUCUACUUGCUGUUUUUAUUUAUUUCUUUAUUUGACUUUUCUUCUAUUGCCAACCUGUGCUUUGCUGUAUUUGUUGCCUUUCAGACAAAACCAAAGGGCAGCCUUAAUCAUUCAU
RNAcentral lists this long non-coding RNA (489 nucleotides) under Malus domestica (apple). Its description in RNAcentral is "long non-coding RNA (MDOM_LNC018962)". The record is from RNAcentral. Lineage: Eukaryota; Viridiplantae; Streptophyta; Magnoliopsida; Rosales; Rosaceae.